Molecule: ribosomal RNA, 492 nt
Filed under: uncultured bacterium
Lineage: Bacteria
Description: partial 16S ribosomal RNA
Rfam family: Bacterial small subunit ribosomal RNA
Source: RNAcentral
AGUGAACGCUGGCGGUAGGCCUAACACAUGCAAGUCGAACGGCAGCACAGUAAGAGCUUGCUCUUACGGGUGGCGAGUGGCGGACGGGGGAGGAAUACAUCGGAAUCUACUUUUUCGUGGGGGAUAACGUAGGGAAACUUACGCUAAUACCGCAUACGACCUACGGGUGAAAGCAGGGGAUCUUCGGACCUUUCGCGAUUGAAUGAGCCGAUGUCGGAUUAGCUAGUUGGCGGGGUAGAGGCCCACCAAGGCGACGAUCCGUAGCUGGUCUGAGAGGAUGGUUCGCCACCCUGGAACUGAGACACGGCCCAGACUCCUACGGGAGGCAGCAGUGGGGAAUAUUGGACAAUGGACGAAAGCCUAAUCCAGCCAUACCGCGUGAGUGAAGAAGGACUUCGGGUUGUAAAGCCCUUUUGUUGGGAAAGAAAAACAGCAGGUUAAUACCCCGCUGUUCUGACGGUACCCAAAGAAUAAGCUCCGGCUAACUUCGUG